UUAACAAGCAAGUUUGAGAACCAGUGAUUGACGGAUCAUUUCUAGGAAGUCCUAUCAAAAUAGUCAUCUCCUCUGUUUUGUUGAGGAAUUGACUUGAAAGUAGGUGGAAGGAAGCAAUCAAUGCAUGUACCCAGUCUGCCACCUGGAAACAGAAUCCCCAUUCUGCUCUCAAGAAUCAUAACUAACUCACACAGCUUCAAUGACCGUGGUCAACCCAUAGUAUGGAAGAAUUGGAUCAGUCAAGACCCAUCUAGAAAUUGGAAACCAUUCUAGUCCUCUCAAAUUAAAAAGUGAUUACACAGUUGUUGGAAGACCUGGAGAACAAAAAGAGGACUCAAGAAACUGAAGAAUUAGUAAUUACAGGAAGCAGCUACGGCUUCUGAGUCUAGGGAAAAAAAGGAAGAGGUGGGGUUAUAAGAACCUAAUAGCUGAGACGAAGGGGCCUAACAGAGGUGGUGCUCAGACCUCUGUAGAGGGGGCAUUUCUCAAUGCUUCUGUUAGCUGUGGGGGACACAGUCAGGGUGGCUCUGAAAAUGACAAAAAAUAGGAAUUUGGAGAUUAAAGCUCACUGCUCUUCCAGAGCAGCACUGAUGGGGACAGCAGAAACAGGAAGUAAAUACCUGCUCCACUACUCCCACUUGCCAAAGCUUUCUUUAAUGCCCGCUGUCUGACCUAACUUGAAGCCAGCUCACAAUGAAAUGAAUACCAACGAUAGAAUCAGAACAGAGAAUAGAGGGUUUAAUCUACUGCCGAGAAACAAUAGAUAAAUAAUCUUCGCUGAAAAAAGCAACCUUUUUU
Molecule: long non-coding RNA, 798 nt
Filed under: Equus caballus (horse)
Lineage: Eukaryota; Metazoa; Chordata; Mammalia; Perissodactyla; Equidae
Description: lncRNA (ENSECAG00000054236.1)
Source: RNAcentral